Molecule: ribosomal RNA, 347 nt
Filed under: uncultured rumen bacterium
Lineage: Bacteria
Description: partial 16S ribosomal RNA
Source: RNAcentral
UAUUCCCCACUGCUGCCUCCCGUAGGAGUUUGGGCCGUGUCUCAGUCCCAAUGUGGCCGUUCACCCUCUCAGGCCGGCUACUGAUCGUCGCCUUGGUGGGCCGUUACCCCGCCAACAAGCUAAUCAGACGCGGGUCCAUCUCAUACCACCGGAGUUUUUCACACUGUACCAUGCGGUACUGUGCGCUUAUGCGGUAUUAUCAGUCGUCUCCAACUGCUAUCCCCCUGUAUGAGGCAGGUUACCCACGCGUUACUCACCCGUCCGCCACUAAGUGUCCAGUCCGAAGAUCAGACACCCCGUUCGACUUGCAUGUGUUAGGCACGCCGCCAGCGUUCAUCCUGAGCCAA